CAAAGAUUUGGUCCUAACCUUACUGUUAUUUUUCGCUAAAAUUACACAUGCAAGCAUCUACGCACCAGUGAGCACGCCCAAACAGUCAACAAGACAUGCCGGAGCAGGUAUCAGGCACACCAAGAAAGCCCAAAACACCAAGCCAUGCCACACCCACAAGGGUCAUCAGCAGUGACAAAUCUUAAGCUAUAAGCGAAAGCUUGACUUAGCUACAGCAAACAGAGCUGGUCAAUCCUGUGCCAGCCACCGCGGUUAAACAGGAAGCUCAAAUUAACAGCCAAACGGCGUAAAAUGUGGCUAAAUUUAAAUCAACAAAAUUUAAGGCAAACCCAACACCUAAUCGUUAAAAACAGGUCAAAAUUACCACAAUAUGAAAAUAACCUUAAUUACUUAGAUACAUUUGAACCCACGAUCGCUAAGACACAAACUGGGAUUAGAUACCCCACUAUGCUUAGCCCUAAACCUAGGCACUUACAAAACAAAAAUGCCCGCCAGAGAAUUACGAGCAAAAAGCUUAAAACUCUAAGGACUUGGCGGUACCUCAAACCCCCCUAGAGGAGCCUGUUCUAUAAUCGAUAAUCCACGAUUCACCUCACCAUCCUUUGCCUAAUACAGCCUAUAUACCGCCGUCACAGCUUACCCUAUGAAGACAUAAAAGUAAGCCCAACAGCUACAUCCAGCUAAAAAGUCAGGUCAAGGUGUAGCUUACUAGGAUGGAAGAAAUGGGCUACAUUUUCUUACCAAAGAAAUACCAACGGAUAUGAACUUUGAAACAAGUCUUAACAAAGCCGGAUUUAGCAGUAAAUUGAAAGCAGAGAGUUCAAUUUAAGAUAGGCUCUGAGGUAUGUACACACCGCCCGUCACCCUCCUCAACAAACAACCAACAAACGUAAAUAACACCCCAAAAAAUAAUAAGAUGAGGCAAGUCGUAACAAGGUAAGUGUACCGGAAGGUGUACUUGGAACCC
Molecule: non-coding RNA, 967 nt
Filed under: Carettochelys insculpta (pitted-shelled turtle)
Lineage: Eukaryota; Metazoa; Chordata; Testudines; Carettochelyidae
Description: 12S ribosomal RNA
Rfam family: Bacterial small subunit ribosomal RNA
Source: RNAcentral